GAUGAACGCUGGCGGCAUGCCUAACACAUGCAAGUUGAACGAAGAUUGUACUUUUCCGUAAGGUUAAGUUUAGACUGAGUAGCGGACGGGCGAGUAACGCGUAAGAAUCUACCCUUAGGAAAAGCAUAACAACUGGAAACGGUUCCUAAUACUUUAUAAGCUGAGAAGUGAAAGGUAUAUAAUCCGCCUAGGGAUGAGCUUGCGUCUGAUUAGCUAGUUGGUAAGGUAAAGGCUUACCAAGGUGUUUUAUCAGUAGUUGGUUUGAGAAGACGACCAGCCGCAUUGGGACUGAGAUACGGCCCAG
Molecule: ribosomal RNA, 304 nt
Filed under: uncultured bacterium
Lineage: Bacteria
Description: bacterial SSU rRNA
Rfam family: Bacterial small subunit ribosomal RNA
Source: RNAcentral